This 422-nucleotide ribosomal RNA is filed under the name uncultured eukaryote. RNAcentral's name for it is "bacterial SSU rRNA". It matches the Rfam family "Eukaryotic small subunit ribosomal RNA", at positions 592 to 1018 of the family's 1831-position model. The record is from RNAcentral.
CAAUAGCGUAUAUUAAAGUUGUUGCAGUUAAAAAGCUCGUAGUUGGAUUUCUGGCAGGAGCGACCGGUCAUGCACUAUGUGCGUGAACUUGUGUUGUCUCUGGCCAUCCUUGGGGAGAUCCUGUUUGGCAUUAAGUUGUCGGGCAGGGGAUACCCAUCGUUUACUGUGAAAAAUUAGAGUGUUCAAAGCGGGCUUACGCUUGAAUAUUUCAGCAUGGAAUAACACUAUAGGACUCCUGUCCUAUUUCGUUGGUCUCGGGACGGGAGUAAUGAUUAAGAGGAACAGUUGGGGGCAUUCGUAUUUCAUUGUCAGAGGUGAAAUUCUUGGAUUUAUGAAAGACGAACUUCUGCGAAAGCAUUUGCCAAGGAUGUUUUCAUUAAUCAAGAACGAAAGUUGGGGGCUCGAAGAUGAUCAGAUACCAU